CUGUGCAUGGUGGAGAAGCAGGGCACGUGCAUUACCAUCCAAUGCCGCCAUGCCCGGCCGCUCCAUGCUCCUCCCCCUCCUCUGAUGAGCUGAGCUCACCAACCUUUGUGGAUCCAUGGAUGGAUGGAUGGUUCUUCAUGUGCCCAUCUUCUCCACCGAGCACAA
Molecule: microRNA precursor, 165 nt
Filed under: Setaria italica (foxtail millet)
Lineage: Eukaryota; Viridiplantae; Streptophyta; Magnoliopsida; Poales; Poaceae
Description: pre miRNA MIR164
Rfam family: MIR164 microRNA precursor family
Source: RNAcentral